RNAcentral lists this ribosomal RNA (454 nucleotides) under uncultured bacterium. Its description in RNAcentral is "partial 16S ribosomal RNA". It matches the Rfam family "Bacterial small subunit ribosomal RNA", at positions 28 to 507 of the family's 1533-position model. The record is from RNAcentral.
GAUGAACGCUGACAGAAUGCUUAACACAUGCAAGUCCACUUGAACUUCGGUUUGGGUGGCGGACGGGUGAGUAACGCGUAAAGAACUUGCCUCACAGAUAGGGACAACAUUUGGAAACGAAUGCUAAUACCUGAUAUUAUGAUUUUAGGGCAUCCUAGGAUUAUGAAAGCUAUAUGCGCUGUGAGAGAGCUUUGCGUCCCAUUAGCUAGUUGGAGAGGUAACGGCUCACCAAGGCGAUGAUGGGUAGCCGGCCUGAGAGGGUGAUCGGCCACAAGGGGACUGAGACACGGCCCUUACUCCUACGGGAGGCAGCAGUGGGGAAUAUUGGACAAUGGACCAAGAGUCUGAUCCAGCAAUUCUGUGUGCACGAUGAAGUUUUUCGGAAUGUAAAGUGCUUUCAGUUGGGAAGAAAAAAAUGACGGUACCAACAGAAGAAGAGACGGCUAAAUACGUG